UUGGGUGGCGUGUGUCGUCAUUGACCGUGAAUGUGCGGAGGGGACAGGAGAGCGGCGGAGAAACAAAGUCGGAAAAACGAGUGAAAAUAUGGAGUAAAAAACGACCUUUUGGUCGCCGCUUCGUCGCGUUGGUUUGUUAGCACUGCGAGAAACUACUUUGCCGAAAAAACUGGGAUCUUAAAACAAGAUUUGGAGCUGUUUUUGUCGAACACAGGCUGGACGCCGAACACACCUGCGGCUAAGGUCUUUCCUUGUUGAGCUGCUGCAGCCUGGAGGGAAACACCAGCUCUCACCUCACACACCAAACAGGUCCAGGCAGAUCAAAGCCAGGCUGCAUCCAGGAUUUGAUAUUGACAAAGAGCUGCACACACUGUCUCUACAGACUGACCCUCUGCAUUCAGUUUAAGAGCCUGAUUAAGGCCUUAUGCUAACCAGAGGCACACAGGUUCACCACAGUCAGGAGAAGGUGUUUACUUUGAAUUAGGAUCAGACAGAGCUGUGGAUGCAGACAGAGGAUGAGAAGCUGAUGGGUCUGCAGCACGAGGACUCCUUCUGAUUGGAAGGCUUUCUCUGACUGAAUCCCAGCUGACCACACAGCCUCACCUGAUAGGACCUCACCUGAUGGGACUGUCAGCUGUGACCAGUUUGUAAGAUAAAGUUCCCACGCUGCAGAGACAGAUGAGUUAAUCUGAGCCUGUGAGCUGGAGACGAUGGAUUCUGCCUCAUCAACCAGGGAGAUGAUGUUACACCAAACAGGAGCCAUGUUUACUUCCUCUCCUCCAGACUCAAACUUCACCCAUCAAACGACAGAGAGAAGAGACAUGAAGAUUUCCAGGUCCAGACCUUCAGCUGCCUCCAUCUUCUUCUCCUCCACCUGCAGAGACACAUCAUGUUAAUCACUCAUCAAUAAAUCUCCUCCUCCUCUAAACUGUCCUCAGUCGUUUUUGAUGGUUAAUUACAG
This is a long non-coding RNA of Lates calcarifer (barramundi perch), 961 nucleotides long. RefSeq lists it as uncharacterized. NCBI's taxonomy places the organism in Eukaryota, Metazoa, Chordata, Actinopteri, Centropomidae. The record is from RefSeq and is a predicted model, not a curated record. The transcript is spliced from 7 exons.